Molecule: long non-coding RNA, 1070 nt
Filed under: Equus asinus (donkey)
Lineage: Eukaryota; Metazoa; Chordata; Mammalia; Perissodactyla; Equidae
Description: lncRNA (ENSEASG00005033021.1)
Source: RNAcentral
AUAGUCCUCCUUUAAAAUCCAGCAACUAUUGUUUCUACAAUAUUAAGAUCUUCUCUAUAUAAAAUUAAAAGAUAAUUGUAAUGUUUGUAAACUUUCUAUUUCAAACUUGUGACUUAGAGACUUCAAGCUAUGUAUUUUGGAUCAGAAUAAAUGGCCAUGUCCCUUUAAAAAGUCUUUGUUAAAUUAGUUUUUAAAAAUACUGACCAAAAGAAGGUUUCUUAUUGUUUCAGAGUUCAUUAAAUGAUUUCCAUACAUGAAAAAUGUAAUUUACUUGAAGUUCUUGUCUUAGUUUCAGUUUUCAGUUGUUUUUAAGAGUCUUAUAUUGAACCGUAGGUAACAGAUAGACUGAAUCCAUAGAUGCACAACAUUUUGCGACGUGUAUAUUUUGAAGUUUCCAAGAUAGUUAAAUUACUGCUGUGAUACAUUUAAUGCAUUUUUCUGAUUUCGUUAUAGAACAUUUAGAUGUAUUUUCCUUGUUUUCACUAGGAACAGGGAACCCAUGCAUGCUUUGGUAAAGUGCUGAAAUUUAAGUGGUCACCAUAUUGCUUAAGUUUGUUUUGUAAUAAGUUCUGUUAUAUUGGGUUAGCAUGUAAAUAGGAACAAUUUGCAAAGCCCAAUUUUAUGCCUUAUCUGCUAACAUAUAAAUUUCUUUAAUUUCUUACUUUUUAAAAGUAACAUACUGUUUAAAGUUGCAGUUUUACUAAUAGUAAGAUGAACAUUUAAAUAUGUGUUUUCUUCUUCAAAUGUUUAAAAUGUUUAGAGCAUUCAAUAUUUGGUUGAUAUCACUUGAUUAAAGUUACCCAUUUAACAUUUAUAUUUGAUGUAUUUGUAUUUAAUAAAGGCAGAAUCUAUAGUUCCACUGUAAAUUUAAUACUUUCUGCAGGUUUGAGGGCAUUUUCCAAGUGUAACUUAACUUACCAGUGUUUAUGUGGAAUCUACACGGAUGGCGAGGCUGCACAUCAAACUGCUGGAUUUCAGAAUUUUCCUCUUUUAUAGGCUUUUUGGUUUUAUUUUACAUAUUAAUUUGUCUCCAAUUAUUACCAGAUCCAUCCCAAAUGUCUACCAGGAAU